ACGUAGGGUGCAAGCGUUAAUCGGAAUUACUGGGCGUAAAGCGUGCGCAGGCGGUGAUGUAAGACAGUCGUGAAAUCCCCGGGCUCAACCUGGGAAUUGCGAUUGUGACUGCAUCGCUAGAGUGCGGCAGAGGGGGAUGGAAUUCCGCGUGUAGCAGUGAAAUGCGUAGAUAUGCGGAGGAACACCGAUGGCGAAGGCAAUCCCCUGGGCCUGCACUGACGCUCAUGCACGAAAGCGUGGGGAGCAAACAGGAUUAGAUACCCUGGUAGUCCACGCCCUAAACGAUGUCAACUGGUUGUUGGGUCUCUUCUGACUCAGUAACGAAGCUAACGCGUGAAGUUGACCGCCUGGGGAGUACGGCCGCAAGGUUG
Molecule: ribosomal RNA, 371 nt
Filed under: uncultured bacterium
Lineage: Bacteria
Description: bacterial SSU rRNA
Rfam family: Bacterial small subunit ribosomal RNA
Source: RNAcentral